UUAGAAUAUGACACAUCGAUCUAUAGUAGUAAUAAAAGAACUUAUCUCAAGUCCGUAUCCAGCAAGGAUCGAGAUUGUGACUUGAAGGUCAUAAUUUGGAGUCUAACCUGAGGUAGAGAGCAGGUGCACGAUCGAGUACUCUUACAAUCAAUGAGUUUAAGAGAUAGAAUUGAAGGAAUGUAGAAGUUAUAAUUAUUACCUAGGAUGAAGAGAUGACGUAUGGAGUCAUUAUACGACCCUGUUUCGUUGAUGAUUCCGGGACGUAAUCAUCCUAAGGGGGAGAUAAUUGUAACGCCCGCAAAUCUGGGCUAGUCAAAUUAGAGGCAAUAGGGGUCGAAAACGACUUUUCGACAAAAGAUUAUUUAGAAUAAAUAAUCUUAACCAAGUUGUAGAGUAUGUUACAAGGUUUUCGUACAUAUAAAGAACGCCGAAAACCGAGUUAUAACGAAGAAGUUAUGACCCGUUGAAGUUUCGCGACGGAACCGGCACGAUACCGGGAAGCGUAAAUAGUGAAUUUACGAUAGAGCGAGAUUUAGCCUUAGCGAUCUAAACGAAAGUCGUAGAAUAUGUUAAACUAAGAACAUCGAUAAAAAGAACGCCCAAAUCUGACUUCGUAUGAGGAAGUUAUGAUUUUUCUAAGAUUUAGCAUAGCAGUGCACAGCCCGAAAUCUGAAUUUUAGAUCGGUCGAUUUUUAGCCGACGGGAUCUAAAUGAAAGUUGUAGUACUCGUAAAUACCAACGCGUGGAUAUAAAGAACGUCGAUAAUAGAGCUCGUAUGCAAAAGUUAUGGACGAAGCUUAGUCCCUACUUUUCGAGCGCGGCGAAUUCGAUACAGUUUUGUAAAUACGAGAUAGAAUGAGAAUUAGCCAACGAGGUCUAAAUGAGAGUUGAAGAUCUCAUUAAUAGGAACUCAACGGUAAAAAGACAGACAAAAAUGGAGCUCGUAUGCGAAAGUUAUGGACGAAGCUUAGUCCCUACUUUUCGAGCGCGGCGAAUUUGAUACAGUUUUGUAAAUCCGAGAUAGAAUGAGAAUUAGCCAACGAGGUCUAAAUGAAAGUUGAAGAUCUCAUUAAUAGGAACUCAACAGUAAAAAGACAGACAAAAACGGAGCUCGUAUGCAAAAGUUACGGACGAAGCUUGGAGACUACUUUACUAUACACUUCCUAUAAAUACAAGGGUGAACUCCUCAUAUUUUCUUCACACCAUAAGCCUUUCUUUCUCUCUCUAACUUCUCUCUAGCCUCCCUAAACCCCUCCCAAGUCUACGGAACCUCCCUAGCACGAGAAGAAAGCCCCGGAGCGCCCGACGGCUCCGAGAAGAAAAGCUUUCGGCUUGGAAACGCUGCUCCAGCGAAGCCCGGUUUUUAAUAAAAACCCGCUGUAAGUGAGCUACGCCUAUAGUAUAUUUAAUAUAGAUUUUAUUUAAUUAUAGUAACAUUGUUAGGACCUUAAAAUAAUUAUUUAGGCUAUUAUUAUGAGUUAUAUUGAGUGUUAUUUAACGCUUAUAUAAUAGUAAUAAUAGCUAGACUAUUAAAUUAGUCUCGUCAAGCGUUAGACUAAACUCUAGUGGUAAUGAUACUAGGUUUCGUCAAGGGAUAAUUGUUUUAAGAGUAACGAAGUGCUGUCCGAGUGCCGACUCACCACCUUUCAAGUGAGUGCAUAGUCCCUUUCAUCUUACACAUAGAUAUGAAGUAUUUUAUAUAAACUACGUGCUAUGUGUGCACAUUAUCUGAAUACUUGCUGUCUAUGCUGGUUGAACGUUUUAUACAUGUUUUAAAGGACUUAAACUGUAUACGUAUUUUAUAUAUACGAAAAUGUUGGGUAUGAGAUGGGUAGAUGAAUGAUGAGAGAUAGAAGAUGACGUGAGUAUACAUUGGCAGCUAUAGACUUAGUGCCUAUGGGACAAACACCGGUAGCUAUGGACUUAGUACCUUUUAGACGUUGGUAGCUAUGGAUUUAGUACCUGUUGGGAAUUGGUAGCUAUGGACUUAGUACCUAUUAGUUAGACGCUGGUAGCUAAGGAUUUAGUACCUGUAGGAAUUGGUAGCUAUGGACUUAGUACCUGUUGAACAUUGGUAGCUAUGGACUUAGUACCUAUUAGAUAAAGACUGGUAGCUAUGGAUUUAGUACCCGAUGAAUAGACUAUAGCAGCUAUGGAAUUAGUGCUUUAUGAACGAACAUUGGCAGCUAUGGAUUUAGUGCCAGUCCCAUAACCCUGGAAGUAAGGGACUUCGGAAUAAACGAAUGCAGGAUAGAUGACUCUUAGGUUAAAUCCUUAAAGAGUAAAGAAGAUAAUGGGGAUGGGUAAUUGGGUUGAUUGUUUGAUUGAACAUAAUAAUUAUAUUAUUGUGGGUUGAAAACCCUAUGUACUCACCAGGUUUCCCAACCUGACCCACUCAGUUUAUGUAUAUCACAGGUGACGAAGUGAAGUGACAUUACACUGAGAGAUUUAAAAGAGAUGUAGAUCACUAGUGUAAAUCAUUGUAAGUUCUGUUUAUGCUUAUGUUUCGGUAUUAACGAUGACAUCCCAAACAUUUUAAAAUGAAAUAAAUACGUUUCUUCGAAAAUGUUUUAAUAACGUAUUUACCAUGUUUUUCUGGGAACAAAUUCCGCAACCUUUUUAUAAAAUGAAGUACUCUGAUUUUUAUAAAGCAUAAACAAAAUCGGUCUUUUCUGGCCGUGAUUUUGGGGAUGUCACAGUUGGUAUCAGAGCAUUAGUUUAAGCGAACUAGGAAUAUGGAUUUAUUUCUAGACUUAAACUUAGAAUGCUAAGCGAUGAUUGUGAGGUGUGAGCACUAGCUUAUUUUAGGAAUUAUGCCUAAAAUGCUUUUAUGUGCUAAAUGCUUUGUGCAUGAUAUGUUGUUAAUUGUUCGGAUCUAUGGUCUGUUGCCGACCGGAUCUGGAAACCUUAUGUGUUUAGGAUUCUAAACGUACGACUACGGUAUUAGAACUAGCAUGUAAACGUUUCGGAGUGAUAAGGAUGAUUUAAACGUCAAGUAAAGGUCUAAAUUCACCUUAUUCGGUGUAUAGAUCGAGAUGGUAAGGACCCGUAGCGGAAACGUAAACGCAAAUGGGAACAGGAACCAACCCCCAGUGGUUCAGCAAAUACCUGUUGUAGAAGAAGUUGCGCCUGAGCCAGUCACCAUGGCUGGAGUUCAAGCCAUGAUUCGGGCUAUGUUGGCUGAACAAAGGGAAGAAAUGAGACGGAUGUUGAAUAGGGACGAACCUACUAUGCCCAUUGAGCAACCCGAACUGAUUCCCGAGCAAUCUGAGGAAGGGAACUACAGCCGCCAAGUGAGUCAAGUUGGGACUCAAGGUGAGCAAAGGGAUGGCCCAGAAGGGAGAAACAACAAGGAUGGGCGGAUGUACAAGAAUUUCUUGGGUGCGAAACCACCAAGUCUCUCAGGAAGCCCGAAGCCGGUUGAGAUUAUGGAUUGGAUCUCUGAGAUGGAGAUGGUGUUUGAGAGCUGCAGCUGUAACGAGAAACAGAAGACUGUCUUCGCUGUAAGACAACUGAAAACUGGAGUCUUGAGCUGGUGGAAGCUAUUGGCAGAUACGAUGCCACGAGGAGAAGCCUUAAGGAUGUCGUGGGAAGAGUUUUUGGAACAGUUGAAAAUGCAGUACUGCUCGGAGGUAGAUCUGAUAGACCUAAACAACGAGUUUCAGAACCUGAAGAAAGGGAAGAUGAGUGUUGAUGAGUAUGCCACCGCAUUUACCGAGAGGAUGAAGCUAUUUCCCUACUUGGUGCCUACUGAACUCUCCAAGAUUGAUAGGUUUGCUAACGGACUGCCCACUGACUUUGGCCCAAUGGUCAAAAUGGCAACUACCUUGAAAGCAGCUGUUAGGGCAGCUAAGAACGUAGAGGCCCAGAUAAGAGAAAAGGGUCUAGAAAAAGAUAAGGCAGGAGAGAAGCGAAAGUUUGAGGGAUCUUCGAGGUCGAACAAGGAAAGAAAAUUCUCAAAACUUGGAGGAGCAGAUGGAGGUGAAGCAAGAUGGUGUGAUAGAUGCAAGAAGAAGCAUGGUGGGAAGUGCAAUGAAGAAGUGACUUGUUACAAGUGUGGGAGGACUGGUCACUAUUCCAAAGACUGCACACAUGAUGAUAAAGUAUGCUACGGAUGUGGAGGCAAGGGGCAUAUGUCCAGAAACUGCCCAAAGAAAAAUAAAGCAGUAAGACCAGAAACGCCACCAAGGCCAAGGGCAUUUCACAUGAUCCUCGACGAAGCAGAAAACCGUGCGAGGAAUCAAGGAUGAGGACUUCAUAUCAGAAGAUCAAGUUAUGUAGUAGCCAUAGUAUUUUAUGAUGUAGCCUAGUAGAGGCAUAGUCUAGGGUGAACUUGAACACCUAUGUAAUCGUUUCAAGAAUUAAUAUAAAACCUUCGUUUUGUUAUCUGAUGUGUCGAAUGAUUGUGUGAUUUGCUGCAUGGUGACUUGGGAAACUGCGAGACAAUACUUGGGACGAGUAUGAGUAGGUGUGAAUGGUAGUAGAGGCCUAUACUACCGGAAGCACAGGACUCACACUUGGAUCAGGGAAAGUCACAAGGUUACCAAGAAGCUAGUAAUUGAUUUCGUUUUAUUCAAGUGUGUUGUUACCAUCGUUUCGGUAAUGACUAAGAAGAUUGUUGAUAUUCCGACCCUAGUGGUCAUAUCGAAUCGAGUCCGACUACGAUGAGUAUGUUGUGUGGUUCAGAGAACCAAGUUUGAUGUAGCGUCCGACUUAAACCAAACGGUUGAAAUCAAAGCGAUCAAUAGAAGUAUCGCACUCGUUGUUAAAGAAGUUGGUGGCUAGAAAUGCCUAAUGUUAAAGUGUGAUUAUAUCACAUUAGAACAUGAAGGAAGGCAUAGUCUGUUUUAGAAUUUAACUCUAAGAGACCUAAGUCUAAGUGUUGCAACAUACGAUGAUAGGUCAUUAGAAUAUGACACAUCGAUCUAUAGUAGUAAUAAAAGAACUUAUCUCAAGUCCGUAUCCAGCAAGGAUCGAGAUUGUGACUUGAAGGUCAUAAUUUGGAGUCUAACCUGAGGUAGAGAGCAGGUGCACGAUCGAGUACUCUUACAGUCAAUGAGUUUAAGAGAUAGAAUUGAAGGAAUGUAGAAGUUAUAAUUAUUACCUAGGAUGAAGAGAUGACGUAUGGAGUCAUUAUACGACCCUGUUUCGUUGAUGAUUCCGGGACGUAAUCAUCCUAAGGGGGAG
Molecule: long non-coding RNA, 5187 nt
Filed under: Lactuca sativa (garden lettuce)
Lineage: Eukaryota; Viridiplantae; Streptophyta; Magnoliopsida; Asterales; Asteraceae
Description: long non-coding RNA (LSAT_LNC003260)
Source: RNAcentral